This 979-nucleotide long non-coding RNA is filed under the name Panax ginseng (ginseng). RNAcentral's name for it is "long non-coding RNA (PGIN_LNC005485)". Lineage: Eukaryota; Viridiplantae; Streptophyta; Magnoliopsida; Apiales; Araliaceae. The record is from RNAcentral.
UGCUGAAUGUUGAAUCACGGUAUCACUCGUAGUGGGAGAAUCCAUCACAAAUGUUGGCAACCAAGCAGUCAAAUCCUCCUCAAUGGGAAUAUCAGCCUCCUCCAUAGGCUCUUCAUCAUCGGAAUCAGUCCUCUGCACUGUGUGUGGCGACCCCAAAUCCAGGUACUUGAAACCCGAACUCGGUUCUCCACGAUACCAUUUCUUUAAGCUGAAUAAUACUAAAUAAUAAUACAUUCGAACUUAAUUUACAUACAUUAAAGUUUACUUCCCCAGGUACGUGACCUUCAAAUACAUUCCUUACAAUACCUGACAAUAUAUUCCAUUGUCUUACUAACUAUAACCAUUAACUCAUAAUAUAAACUCAUUCGAACAGCUUUCCUUUCCCCUUGUUCGUGCCUAAGCCUUCAGAUUGCUCAUAUAUAACUGAAAACAUUUAAUUUAAGCAAGGAUGGGCAUUUGAGUGCCCAACAAGUAAUAGCAAUUAUAUAUAUAAGCUGAAAGAAUAUAAGUAUUCUCUUUACAUAACACUUCAACAACGAAUCAAAAGUUGUGAAGUAAUCUAUACUGAUAAAAGAUUCACAUAACAACUCUCUUUCAAUUUCUUGAAAUUAGGCUCCACCCAUGAAUAGGGUUUAAGAAACAUAUUAUGAACAUGGUUUUUUUCAUUUUCAAAAAGGUUUAGCAGAAAUUCAUCCGCAAACCGUCAUAACUUACGGGAACGGAGGGUGAUCAGCCCCGUUGUACCCUGUAUUGAUCAAUACUACAUAACUUGAACGAAAUUCAUCGCUCACCCUUUGUCCGCCGAAGCGCAUAAAAAUUUUCCCAUUAUCGGGAUGUUCAUACAUGCCUGGUUCCAAACCCGAAGGUUUUUAAUCUUGCUCAACAAUAAUAUGUAAUUCAACAUAUAUGUAUACGGGUAAUUGACAAAGGUAUAUCAACAUGUGAAUAAAUGCCAUGAUUAUCCAAGUGGGGACACUUG